RNAcentral lists this ribosomal RNA (467 nucleotides) under uncultured bacterium. RNAcentral's name for it is "partial 16S ribosomal RNA". It matches the Rfam family "Bacterial small subunit ribosomal RNA", at positions 28 to 507 of the family's 1533-position model. The record is from RNAcentral.
GACGAACGCUGGCGGCGUGCUUAACACAUGCAAGUCGAACGGAAAGGCCUCUUUCGGGGGGUACUCGAGUGGCGAACGGGUGAGUAACACGUGAGUAACCUGCCCUUGACUUUGGGAUAACUUCAGGAAACUGGGGCUAAUACCGGAUAGGAGCUCCUGCUGCAUGGUGGGGGUUGGAAAGUUUCGGCGGUUGGGGAUGGACUCGCGGCUUAUCAGCUUGUUGGUGGGGUAGUGGCUUACCAAGGCUUUGACGGGUAGCCGGCCUGAGAGGGUGACCGGCCACAUUGGGACUGAGAUACGGCCCAGACUCCUACGGGAGGCAGCAGUGGGGAAUAUUGCACAAUGGUUGGAAGCCUGAUGCAGCAACGCCGUGUGCGGGAUGACGGCCUUCGGGUUGUAAACCGCUUUCGCUCAUGACGAAGCUUUGUGUGACGGUAGUGGGUAAAGAAGCACCGGCUAACUACGUG